Molecule: transfer RNA, 64 nt
Filed under: Pomacea bridgesi
Lineage: Eukaryota; Metazoa; Mollusca; Gastropoda; Architaenioglossa; Ampullariidae
Description: tRNA-Met
Source: RNAcentral
UAUAAGAUAAGCUAAAACAAGCUGUUAGGUUCAUACCCUAAAAAUGAGCUCAGCUCUCUUAUAG